GCAGGCGCGAAACCUUUACACUGCACGCAAGUGCGAUAAGGGGACUCCGAGUGCGAGGGCAUAUCGUCCUCGCUUUUCUGUACCGUAGGGUGGUACAGGAACAAGAGCUGGGCAAGACCGGUGCCAGCCGCCGCGGUAAUACCGGCAGCUCAAGUGAUGGCCGAUCUUAUUGGGCCUAAAGCGUCCGUAGCCGGCCUCGCAAGUCCGUCGGGAAAUCCACGCGCCCAACGCGUGGGCGUCCGGCGGAAACUCCGAGGCUUGGGACCGGAAGGCUCGAGGGGUACGUCCGGGGUAGGAGUGAAAUCCCGUAAUUCCGGACGGACCACCGAUGGCGAAAGCACCUCGAGAAGACGGAUCCGACGGUGAGGGACGAAAGCUCGGGUCUCGAACCGGAUUAGAUACCCGGGUAGUCCGAGCCGUAAACGAUGUUCGCUAGGUGUGGCACUGGCUACGAGCCAGUGCUGUGCCGUAGGGAAGCCGAGAAGCGAACCGCCUGGGAAGUACGUCCGCAAGGAUGAAACUUAAAGGAAUUGGCGGGGGAGCACUACAACCGGAGGAGCCUGCGGUUUAAUUGGAUUCAACGCCGG
This 587-nucleotide ribosomal RNA is filed under the name uncultured haloarchaeon. RNAcentral describes it as "bacterial SSU rRNA". It matches the Rfam family "Archaeal small subunit ribosomal RNA", at positions 335 to 921 of the family's 1478-position model. The record is from RNAcentral. Lineage: Archaea; Methanobacteriati; Methanobacteriota; Halobacteria; Halobacteriales; Halobacteriaceae.